AGUGAAGCAUUUUCUCAAACAGAUAGAUAUCUCUACUGAGCAUGUGUUGAAUAAAUGUCAUCACUCUGGAUUAUUUGUAAUUGGAGAAAUGUAGUGUUACAAAUUGUCCCCUGUGGUAAUUGCCCCCAGUCUCUCAUAUGCUUCAUUUUCUGGAUUAAUGACACACAAAGAUAAACAUGCAUACACAAAUUGUUUAAGUGUGUUUUGACUUUUCCCAGCUUGGGAAUCUCAGAGCCAUGCGGUGAUGCUGCUGCGUUAUCUUCUGCUCUCAGAUGCUGGAAUCCUCCAGUAAACACACAGGGUACUUUAAGGCCAUUAUGUUCUCCGCUCCCUGGAAAUGAUUUCUAAACACUGUCGUAAAUCCCAACACUUGUCACGGAGGCCAGACGAGAGUCCUCUCCUACUUCAGACUCAGAUAAACACUUCAAAGGCGACCGGCGGCUCAAUUUGAGAGUGGCAUUAUAUGUAAGGCAUGUUGGGUUUACUUUGCCACUGAAACUCAAACAGACCCGUACACUAAGAGAGGUGUCUAUUAAUAUCACCA
Long non-coding RNA from Cyprinus carpio carpio, 544 nucleotides. The record is from Ensembl. NCBI's taxonomy places the organism in Eukaryota, Metazoa, Chordata, Actinopteri, Cypriniformes, Cyprinidae.